This 484-nucleotide ribosomal RNA is filed under the name uncultured bacterium. RNAcentral's name for it is "partial 16S ribosomal RNA". It matches the Rfam family "Bacterial small subunit ribosomal RNA", at positions 30 to 507 of the family's 1533-position model. The record is from RNAcentral.
AUUGAACGCUGGCGGCAGGCCUAACACAUGCAAGUCGAGCGGAUGAAGGGAGCUUGCUCCUGGAUUCAGCGGCGGACGGGUGAGUAAUGCCUAGGAAUCUGCCUGGUAGUGGGGGAUAACGUCCGGAAACGGGCGCUAAUACCGCAUACGUCCUGAGGGAGAAAGUGGGGGAUCUUCGGACCUCACGCUAUCAGAUGAGCCUAGGUCGGAUUAGCUAGUUGGUGGGGUAAAGGCCUACCAAGGCGACGAUCCGUAACUGGUCUGAGAGGAUGAUCAGUCACAUGGGAACUGAAACACGGCCCAGCCUCUUACGGGAGGAGCAAGGGGGAAAUUUUGGAAAAGGGGGGAAACCUGGACCAAGCCUUGCGGGGGGGGGAAGAAAGGUCUUGGGUUUGAAAACCUUUUAAAGUGGGGAGGAAGGGAAGUAAUUUAAUACCUUCUUUUUUGGACUUUACAAAAAAAAAAACCCCCGCCAAACUCCGUG